AAAUCACUGGCCCUCCAGAGGUCCUCAACGGCAUAAGAAGACUCAGUGUCAAGGACUUCAUCAUCAAAGCCCUGUGCCGGCUAGCUUCCAGGUGUAUUGAGUCAAUGGAGAAUCUGGCAGAUUGGAGGAAGGAGAAGGUCAUGAUCAUCUGGCAAUUAAAGAAAUGGCCAGACUGCCUCCCACUCUGAGGACCCUUGGCCACCUGACAAGGAAUUCCAGAGACCACAGUAGUCAGUGCUGGCAAGAUUCCAGAGCCCAGAAGA
This is a long non-coding RNA of Symphalangus syndactylus (siamang), 263 nucleotides long. RefSeq lists it as uncharacterized. Lineage: Eukaryota; Metazoa; Chordata; Mammalia; Primates; Hylobatidae. The record is from RefSeq and is a predicted model, not a curated record.